Molecule: long non-coding RNA, 3601 nt
Organism: Bactrocera oleae (olive fruit fly)
Lineage: Eukaryota; Metazoa; Arthropoda; Insecta; Diptera; Tephritidae
Source: RefSeq, a predicted model, not a curated record
UUGCGCUCUCAUAAGAUAGGUCGUAUCAGCUGAUUCGGUCCACGGUUUUGCAUCGGUGACUGUUUGUGCUAUGAAACGAGGGUCAGUGAAUCAUCGACUCGAAAUCAAAAACUAACAAGCCAAAUUUUAAAAGGAAAGAAAAAAAGAAAACGAUUUUUAUUCCCAUGAAAAAGAAAAUAUACAUAAAUACAAGUAUAUAUUCCUUCAUUUAUGUGCAUGUAUAUGUGUAAAAAAUAUUUUCUUUAAAUAAACGGACAGUUAGUGCGGGUUUUUCUCAUAUCUUAACAUAAAUACCAUCCAUACAAACACAUGUGCAUUUCUCAUCAGCGAAAAUAUAUCAAUAGCAAAAAAUCGCUUGCUUGCGGCAUAAGUACAGAAUGUGAAUGUCAAACAAUUCAUCCAAAUUAACGGAUAAUGCAACCUAAAAGGAUAACGAGUAAAUCGGAUGACACACACAUAUGUGCAAGUAUAUCACAUCUAUCUUCGUCGCAAUUUUCACAAACCCUACAACAAUUUCUAUAAGCAAACAAUGAAAUCAAACGAAUGCGGCACAAACAAAUAAACUAGCUGAUUGACUGCAUCGAACUGAACAAGGCGCAGCGAUCGAUGCAUGUGGCCCCGGGUACAAAAGGGUUAAAUGCAGCUAUUGUACGUAGCGGCAAACAUCCUCUCACCACUCGGAUUAGGAGCGCAAUUGAUGUGCCAGCCGCCGGGGGUCAAUACAUUCGAUUACUGCUGAAUGGACUUGAAAAACUCGCGCAUCGUUUUUGCACAUUAGCGAAGCGCACCUUCCGAACAUGCGACCCGAUGCGCAUUGAUACAUAUGUGCACCGACAUGGCAGCUUAGCCGGUUUGUAUUGGCGAAAUAGUUCACCUUUGAAUGGAACUACACAAUAUCAUUUAUUUAUUUUCUCGUUUUCUUUAUUUUGUUUGUUGUUGAUGCGAGUACUCAUUUUUGAUCUCAACCGCAAACAUUGUCAUUACAUAUUUUGUGUAGGAUUCGUAAUUCAUAAUUCCAUAAUUAUAAAAAAAUAUCUAAAAGUAUUUGAAUGCGAUUUAUGUAUUGCAGACAAGUAAUACAAAUAGUUCACUAAACUCGUUUAAUAUUUUAAAUGAAAACUAGAGUUUUCUCCGAGGUGAGCUCCUAAAUUACUGAAUCGUGUUUAGUAAAAUUUAGCACACUCUGUCCAGUUUAAUCCAACUUAAAAGAUAUAUUUUUUCUAAUGACAAAUAUUUGUAUAUUGUAAAUAAUUUUUAAAAUUAAACCUCAAGUACAAUCCUUUGGAAUUACAUACCCGGCAAUAUGUUUUCGCUUUUCUUCGUAAUUAAUAUUGGUUAAGUAAAAAGUUCAUUCGGUUUUUUAUUGAUUUUUCAAAAGAUGAUAAAUUUAUGUACAUUUGUCCGAUUUAAGUCAAAUAUGCGCCGUUUUGUUCGUAAACUUGUUGCCAACUAGAUGCCAACUUCAUUAUACCCCUCUCGUAGAAGACUGCGUCUCUAUUGGCAAAAAACUCGGAGAGCUAAUCUUCACAGGCCUCUCUUGAGGCCAACUUCUCACCAUUAAGCGCGUUCGCUAUGGACAGGAAAAGAUGGUAAUCACUUGGUGCCAGGUCUGGACUAUAAGGUGGGUGCAUUAGGACAUCCCAUCCGAGCUCCAGGAGCUUCUGGCGCGUCACCAAAAACGUGUGUGGCCUGGCGUUGUCCUGAUGGAACACAAUUCGGCCUCUGUUGAUCAAAGAUGGCCUCUUCUGGAUGAGUGCGGCCUUCAAGCGGUCCAGUUGUUGGCAGUAGAGGGCCGAAUUGAGCGUUUGGCUAUAGGGGAGCAGCUCGCAGUAGAUGAUUCCUUGCCAAUCCCAAAAAACACACAGCAAAACCUUCCUGGCCGUCAAUCCGGUCUUGGCCACCGUCUAGGCCGCUUCCCCGAGCUUUGACCACGACCGUUUGCGCUCGAAUGUCGUAAUUGACCCGUUUUUCAUCGCCAGUCACAAUCCGCCUCAGAAACGGGUCGAUGUGUUUUCACUAUUUCCAUGAUAUUAUGGCAAUUUUCGACGACAGGCCUCCCGACGCGUGGUGCAUCUUUGACAUCGAAAUUACCGGAACGGAACCUAGCAAACCACUUUUGUGCUACACGUUCGUUUACAGUAUCGGGCCCAUAAACUAAAUUAAUUUUUUUCAGCCGCUUUCGCUGCUUUUUUGCCUUGAUCGAAGAAUAAUUUUAAAAUAUAGCGAAUUUUCUCUUUGCUGGUGUACAUCUUUGAAGAGCGCUCACAACGUACUGACUCAAUCAAUCGAAAAACUGGCAAAGACAAACUUUUAGUGCGAAUAAACACGUUUUCAGCGCCGUAUAGUAUGACAUGAUGCGACACGUAACAGUAGUACUAUGGACAAUAAAGCCAUCUCUAAUAUAAAAACCGAACGAAAAAAAACUUUUUACUUGACCUAAUAUAUUCAUUGUAGUUUAUUAUACUCGUAUAUGUUAAGUAGUAGUUAAAUGUAAAUAUAGCAUAGCCAUAGCAACGCUUGGCCGGAUAUACUAUAUGUAUAUUGUUAUAUUGAUUGUUUUUAAAAAAGAAGCCUCCGGAAAAACUUCGAGUUCAAUAUAUUUUAUUCCUUUACCCCAAUAACGUUUUCGUCUAUAUUUGUAAAUAUUAUUUUCAACUAUUAAGGACCGAAACUGGUCUACUGGUCAGACUAACCUUAAAUACAUAGGUUAUUAUAAUAAUAUUAUAUUUUAUAUAUACCUAGGGUCGUAGAGAGUAACACGGAGCACGAGGAAGUUAUAGAGUGAGGGCUCCCUGAUUCAUCACUUUAUUGCUUUACAUUUUAUUUAUUUUGAGAAAAAAUUAGUUCCAUAUUACCAUAUGUAUAUUUUUUGUUAAUGUUACAUGUACGGAGUUGGUGCGAGGAUAUACUGCCCAGAGUAAGGUAUAUAGCUGCCUUUUAAGCUGCUGGAUCACUGCAGUAUAUUUCAAAGAGAGGACUUUACUAUUAGAUUAUUAUUAUUGGUAAUACGACGAUCUGGACAAGAGCAUGGCAAGGAAAGUUAAAAUUCGAUGGAAUGACCUAUAUUCACGUGCAAAGCAGUAGAUUAAAAAUACCUAAAGUUCCUAAUCACUCUUAAUAGAAGAGACUGUAGAAACAUGAUUGGAAUACUCACUGGUCACAGUCUGGUGGUGGGACACGCCUGCAAAAUGGGGCUGAAUGGGGACUGCAGGAAAUGUCAAGAGCAAGGCACCUGGGAAACAAUGGAGCAUCUCAUGAGACACUGAAAGAGGAAUCGAUAGUGAGGCUGCAGAACCUAUUAAAAUUCGCGCGAAUAACCUAACCUACAUGUGCUUGAGUACAUAUAUGAUAAAUGAAUAAUGAUCUGGUAAGGCAUCCUGAAGAAACAUUGAUGCUGAUCUAUUUUAAUUGAUGAUGAACCCUAAAAAGUCUGUAGGAGCAUAAUUUUAAAUUAUAACAUUACAUGCAAUUAUGUUAUUGUUAAGAAACAACAUUACUUUAUAGUGACAACAAUUGUAGUGAAUUGUUAGAGAAAAAAUAUGCAAAAAAUAAUUACAGAGCACCAUGUCCGCAAGGUAUUGUCCUAACUAGCGGUUUCGUA